AGCUUCAGGUCCAUUCUGCUGGUGAUCAGAGCAAGGUGGAAUAAUGUUUCUGUCAGGUUUAGGGCAGGAGAAACUGAAGUUCAUAGUUAAGUAUAAGCUGGUAUAUGAUCCUAGGCAACUUUUCCCAUCUCUCUUUAUACCAUCAGACUCAUCUGUCUAGAUAAGUAUUGUCUACUAUGGCAGUGGCUCCUUUGGAUAUCAGGCUGAGAGUGUUUACUUCACCUCCUAGUCAAACAUCUUAAACAUAGAUGUGAGGAAAUCAAACCAGGCCCUUGGCAUGCAAAACUGAUCCUCUGGCACUGAACUAUGGUCCUUCUCCUUCAAGUGACUUCUGUUUUGGAGAAUAAUCAUAGGAUAAAAAACAGAGUUGUAGGAGGCAAGCUAAUCUGAUGAAAACUUCAAAACAGGCUCUGAUUCAAAUCCAAGCCUUGUUCCUGCCUUUAAUUCCAUGAAGUUCUUGGCUUAAUUUCACAAGCCCUCAGGAAGACAUCAGUCAAAAGAGAAAAGAAUAAGAAAAGUGAUAGUCCUGACCCUGGUUGACUUUGGUUCCACUCACUAUGAAUGCAAAGCCUCCAACAGAUUACCUGUGAGGUGAGGCAGCCCUCCACAAGGGAUGUAAAAAUGUUAAAAAUUUCAAAGUGUUCAAAUGUACAUGCAUUUUGUUUUCUUAUUUUGCAUAGUGAACAGCAUUUUCUGCAGUUACCUGCAUAGAAAACAAUAUUAUGCUGUUUUCUGUACAGGAUUUUUUCUCCACAGAGAUUAUGUUUUCUGCACAGAAACAAUGUUUCUUGCACAAACAGGAUGAUUGGACCUAAAUCUGAGGGUUUAAAUCACCUUGUGGCUUUAAUCUGGAGCAGAAAAGUGGGGAAUUGUCCUGGUUUUGUAUGGAAAAUCCAGAUGUUUGCUCACAUUGAGCUUCAUAGCAAUGUCAGUGUGAGGAGUACAGAAAUAUGUACAUUUGCACACUAGGGAGGAGGGCAGUAGAGAAAAAUAAUGUGGAGCAGCCACAGCAGUGUGGUCAUGCAUAGUGUAAUUUAUUGGACCACAGUGUGUUCAAAAGGGAGAACUGUGUGGCUAGUUCUCCCGAAAUUGUCUUGUUGCAUGUAGACAAGCCUGUGGUUGCUACAGAUUGGAGUAAUCCAAAGGUAAAAUGAAUUUUCCUGUCAGUGAAGAUGAGCCCUAGGAUUGCCCUCAUCAAGGUUUCCUGACACUUGAGUAACCCAUUUUUCAACUCGUUUUUGAAUAUUUCCAAAUAUUCUUUCCAUCCCUACUCUCAACAUAGUUUUCCUCAGUCUUGUCCUACAGAUCUGGGCUAGAUUCAAGCAACUGGCCAAGAUGAGAGAGGUGAGGCAGAAAGAGGAGGUAUCCAGGAAGCAAGGAUUAAAUCUCUUCCUUGUUAGAAUUUGGUUUAGUUCUCUUCAUAUGGCACAAAAUUCUUUUGUGAAAGAGAAAGGGAAAUGUCUAUUUUUUACUACUAUUAUGUUUUGAAGAGGCUAAUCACUCUGGAAAGAUUCCAGUAAGCCAGAAAAAGGAAGGAGAGAGGCAGAGGGGCAUUUUUGUGUUUGUUUGUUUUUUUAAAAUAGCACCACAUACAGGAAGAGGAAGAGAUGAUUGAAUGAACACAACACUCUUUAGAUGCAUUGAAUUACAAAUUCCAUAAUCCCCAUCUGAUGCAUGUGGGGACUAUGAGAGUUGUAAUCCAAUAUGUCUGAAGGUGCAAUGCUGUGAAAGGAUUGGAGUAGAGUCUUGGAACAAAAAGGUGUCAGGUGGUUCCUUUGUGUUCUGAACACAGGAGACUUUUCUCUCUCAGGGACCUGUCUACAGCUGUUACAGGAACCAUUGCUAGGAAUGUUAUGAUUGCACAGGGAGAGGGCUAAGAGAGGUGCAAAGACACUGUCCAUAGUAACAAAAUAUCUUACAAAGUCAGGCCUGUCUUCCCCAUUAAGAAGCUGUAUGGUUGGUAUGUACAUAUGUUGCAUGUACCUUAAGCAUAAGAUCUAGCCAUUUUGGAGGUUCCAUAGUGCUCUUCUCCAAAGAAGCAACUGUUCCUUGGACCGUACUUUGACAAAAACAAAACAAAAACUGAUCUGUGUGCAUGUGUGUGUCAAGCUGCAGCCCCAAUGAUGACAUCUCCUCUCACAAAGGCUCCAGACUUUUGUUUCUCAACCAUUCCCUGCUUCAAGUCCUCAUGUCCCUUCUCUAGAAGGUUGAAAGAUACAAAUCAGCUGCCCUGGCUAGUGCAAAGAGGAUUGUUCCCAAAUUUUUCCCUUAGUUCCCUUUGCAAGUGCAAGAGCUUGUCCUACAAUUUCCCACAAAUAAGGGGAAAAAAAAGAUUGAUGUUGAUUAAAACAGUUUCCCUCUCUGUACACAAUAAUUUUCAGAUGGACAUAAAGGGUUGGCAGGUAGCCAGGUGGACAUUAAAUAAUUCUUUCCCCAUAAUAAAUGGUUGGUGAUCAAGACCAGCUGCCAGCCAGCUAAGUUUGGUUCGUUCCACAGCCCAGUCUCUGUUCCUUUUGCUUCCUAGCUGCUGUGGGCAGGACAGGGCUUGUCAGACCUUGGCCUCUAGCAUUUCUAGGAAGAGUUUGUGCAUGGGUACUUUGCCCUGCAGUUUGAUGCUGUAGAAAUGCUGCACAGCCUUGGCGGCAGUUUGCCGCAGAAGGGGCAGGGUCAGCAGCAGCUUUCCUGCACGCCGUGGCUCCUCAUGACGUUGACUCAGCUCGUAGUCCUGAAGGGCUUCAUGGAGAAGGUCUUGGAGUUUCUGCACAGCCUCCAUGUCCUCUAUGUGCAUUGAAUCUGAAAAGCAAAAAAAAAACCAAGAGGAAAAUGAGACAAGAAAAGCCAGCGAAAGGGGCAGAGAAAUGCUGAGGCUGUGGUUAUAGAGGAAUGAGAGGGAAAAUUUCAGAGUUAUCAACUGAAUAGUGGAACAAAGUCAUGCUGGAAUAAAAGAUAUAUCAUUAUG
Sceloporus undulatus (fence lizard) is the source of this 2959-nucleotide long non-coding RNA. RefSeq lists it as uncharacterized. The transcript is spliced from 2 exons. Lineage: Eukaryota; Metazoa; Chordata; Lepidosauria; Squamata; Phrynosomatidae. The record is from RefSeq and is a predicted model, not a curated record.